UGGGGGAUAUUGCACAAUGGGCGAAAGCCUGAUGCAGCGACGCCGCGUGGGGGAUGAAGGCCUUCGGGUUGUAAACUUCUUUUGCUCUGAACAAGGCAUGCUAAUGGGUGUGUUGAGUGUAGGGGUUGAUUAGCGCCGGCUAACUACGUGCCAGCAGCCGCGGUAAUACGUAGGGCGCGAGCGUUGUCCGGAAUUAUUGGGCGUAAAGGGCUUGUAGGUGGCUGGUUGAGUCUGUCGUGAAAGCUCAUGGCUUAACUGUGGGUUUGCGGCGGGUAAGGGCUGGGUUGAGUGCAGUAGGGGAGGCUGGAAUUCCUGGUGUAGCGGUGGAAUGCGCAGAUAUCAGGAGGAAUACCGGUGGCGAAGGCGGGUCUCUGGGCUGUUACUGACACUGAGGAGCGAAAGCAUGGGGAGCGAACAGG
RNAcentral lists this ribosomal RNA (419 nucleotides) under bacterium. Its description in RNAcentral is "partial 16S ribosomal RNA". It matches the Rfam family "Bacterial small subunit ribosomal RNA", at positions 355 to 776 of the family's 1533-position model. The record is from RNAcentral.